Molecule: ribosomal RNA, 253 nt
Filed under: uncultured bacterium
Lineage: Bacteria
Description: partial 16S ribosomal RNA
Rfam family: Bacterial small subunit ribosomal RNA
Source: RNAcentral
UACAGAAGGUGCGAGCGUUAAUCGGAAUUACUGGGCGUAAAGGGUGCGUAGGUGGUUUUGUAAGUUAAGUGUGAAAGUCCUGGGCUCAACCUGGGAACUGCGCUUGAUACGGCAGAGCUAGAGGAUGGAAGAGGGUCGCGGAAUUCCCAGUGUAGAGGUGAAAUUCGUAGAUAUUGGGAAGAACACCGGUGGCGAAGGCGGCGACCUGGUCCAUUACUGACGCUGAGGCGCGACAGCGUGGGGAGCAAACAGG